UAUUCAAAAUCUCUCCGUCUAACACUACUGUAAACGUUGCCGUAUUGGACAAAGAUAAGGCAAAAACACGAAAUAGGGUCCAUUAGACACAUAGCAUAAAUUAAGUACUAGCGGUGAUACAGGCAUGUCCAAGGAGAUAGCAAAUGAAGGUUCGAUACAGAUACAGAAGCGACACACAUAAAAUAGUCUAAAAUACAUAUAGGGCUGUAGGAUUGGAUGGACUAGAACGACAAGUAGUGUGCAUCAGGAAUACGGCUGGGACUAGAACGACCGAGGGAAAAUGCUGACUGUCCCUGGGGUGAUGCAAGGAGUGGCAGCUGCAUGCUCACAUGCAUAUUCACCGAAGGUCCCUGAAUGCGCAGACUGAUUAUUAAAGUUUCUUAGAAAGAGCACUGCAAAGUACUUGGAUCAUACUGGAAUUGGAGUGGCAUCAUAUUCCCAGGGGAGCGGCGC
This 453-nucleotide long non-coding RNA is filed under the name Triticum aestivum (bread wheat). Its description in RNAcentral is "long non-coding RNA (TAES_LNC000412)". Lineage: Eukaryota; Viridiplantae; Streptophyta; Magnoliopsida; Poales; Poaceae. The record is from RNAcentral.